RNAcentral lists this long non-coding RNA (254 nucleotides) under Lathyrus oleraceus (garden pea). RNAcentral's name for it is "Pisum sativum (pea) long non-coding RNA (PSAT_LNC025988)". Lineage: Eukaryota; Viridiplantae; Streptophyta; Magnoliopsida; Fabales; Fabaceae. The record is from RNAcentral.
UAAAAUAAGAGACAUAAAAUAAUUUUUUCAGAAAUUUUAAAUGCCUAAAAGUAUAUUUAAACCAAUUAAAACAAAGGAGAAAAGAGAAAAUUUAAGAAAAAUAGAAAAUUGAGAAAAUAAAGUAUGGAAAAAUAAAAAUCAGAUGAAGAAAAAUAAAAGAAAAAUUUAGAAUUUUUUUUGGGAUUUUUUUGGAUAAAACAUGAAUUUUUCAUGAAUUUUAAAACAAAAUGAAAUUUAAAAUAAUAAGAGAGAAA